Non-coding RNA from Zootermopsis nevadensis, 1186 nucleotides. The record is from RefSeq and is a predicted model, not a curated record. NCBI's taxonomy places the organism in Eukaryota, Metazoa, Arthropoda, Insecta, Blattodea, Termopsidae.
ACAAGCCGCUUUCGUUAUUGCGGAAAGAGCCAAAGUGUGAAUCGCUUGUAGAAGAAGUUCGUCGUAGAGUAGAUAAUAUUGUGCUGUUAAAAACGUUUUAGAAUAUCUGCCCACCAUUUCAGAUCGUGGUCUCCUACAAUUGAACAAAGCUUGAGGUGGCAGUCAGUUCGUGAAAGUCGGAGUACAGAAGCAACAGCAAUAUAAAGUGGUUAACUCAGAUAAUUCAAUAAGCCACAUACAAAGUGUGAAACAUGCCUGCUGUUAAAUCGAAAAGUAAAAGGAAGAUGCCGGCUAAAAGAAAAUCAACGAGGAAAGUUAAGAGUUGCGCAGUUUCUAAGAGAAAGUGUCGCCCAAGUGCUCCCAGAAAAAUUAAGAAAGCUGUAGAAAAAGCUGCAAAGGAAGUAGUAAGAGAUAGUAUGAGGGGUAGAAAUGUAAUGCGAAAGAAAUCGUCUGGCUCAAAGAAAUCAACUUCUCGUAGAUCAAGACGCAGCAAGAGGAGAACGUGAAUGUUUGGAAUUUAUGUUUCUCAUACAAAAAUGUUCAUCCUUGAAUAUUGAUUAAAAACCCAUUAACAAAUGUAAUACAGUGUGUCCAGAAAGUCCCUUCGGGGAUUUGAAAAAUUGAGCUAGUCACAUGCGGUUUGCGGAACAUUACAGUGAAACUCUGGAAACUUUUCACUGACCUCAGUAGAACGUCCAGAUGAUAUUCGAGCUCUUGUCAUGUUCUGUGGAGCAUGUUGGCUGGAGCAAGUCCGUUAACUGGUGACCUGAAGACCAGUAUCUGGAAGGCGAUCUCGGCUAUUCCACAGAACAUGGCAAGAGCUCGAAUUUCGUCUGUACGUUCUCCGUGCUACCAAGGGAGCCUACAUCGAGGUCUACUGAGGUCAGUAAAACACUUCCAGAGUUUCACUGUAAUUGGCCGCAAACCGCAUGUGGCUAGCUCAAUUUGGUUGCGCGCCACAAUUUUUCAAAACCCCGAAGGGAUUUUGUGGACACGCCGUACAUUUCAAAUGUAAUACUUCAUGAGAUUUGCUGUUUUGUGGGUUUAUGAUAAAAUUUAAUCAUACAAAUAUAUUACUUGAUUUGCUUGCAUUUGAAAUUGUUAUUUUGUAAUGUAGAGUCAGUCCAUGCAUAGACAUGCUUCUGUUUUGCAAUAAAAAUAUAUCUGCAGUAGUACAACAACCUUA